RNAcentral lists this ribosomal RNA (301 nucleotides) under uncultured bacterium. RNAcentral's name for it is "partial 16S ribosomal RNA". It matches the Rfam family "Bacterial small subunit ribosomal RNA", at positions 509 to 807 of the family's 1533-position model. The record is from RNAcentral.
CAGUCGCCGCGGUAAUACGGAGGGAGCUAGCGUUGUUCGGAAUUAUUGGGCGUAAAGCGCGCGUAGGCGGUUACUCAAGUCAGAGGUGAAAGCCCGGGGCUCAACCCCGGAACUGCCUUUGAAACUAGGUGACUAGAAUCUUGGAGAGGUCAGUGGAAUUCCGAGUGUAGUGGUGAAAUUCGUAGAUAUUGGAUGGAACACCGGUGGCGAAAGCGGCUCUCUGGCCCGGAUCUGACGCUGAGGCGCGAAAGCGUGGGGAGCAAACAGGAUUAGAGACCCGUGUAGUCCCUGUCUCUUAUAC